ACACUCCUACGGGAGGCAGCAGUGGGGAAUUUUGGACAAUGGGCGAAAGCCUGAUCCAGCAAUGCCGCGUGAGUGAAGAAGGCCUUCGGGUUGUAAAGCUCUUUUGUCAGGGAAGAAACGGUGAGAGCUAAUAUCUUUUGCUAAUGACGGUACCUGAAGAAUAAGCACCGGCUAACUACGUGCCAGCAGCCGCGGUAAUACGUAGGGUGCAAGCGUUAAUCGGAAUUACUGGGCGUAAAGCGUGCGCAGGCGGUUUUGUAAGUCUGAUGUGAAAUCCCCGGGCUCAACCUGGGAAUUGCAUUGGAGACUGCAAGGCUAGAAUCUGGCAGAGGGGGGUAGAAUUCCACGUGUAGCAGUGAAAUGCGUAGAUAUGUGGAGGAACACCGAUGGCGAAGGCAGCCCCCUGGGUCAAGAUUGACGCUCAUGCACGAAAGCGUGGGGAGCAAACAGGAUUAGAAACCCUAGUAGUCCCAUGA
Molecule: ribosomal RNA, 476 nt
Filed under: uncultured organism
Description: partial 16S ribosomal RNA
Rfam family: Bacterial small subunit ribosomal RNA
Source: RNAcentral